Molecule: ribosomal RNA, 472 nt
Filed under: Salmonella enterica subsp. enterica serovar Infantis
Lineage: Bacteria; Pseudomonadati; Pseudomonadota; Gammaproteobacteria; Enterobacterales; Enterobacteriaceae
Also listed under: 32 other names
Description: bacterial SSU rRNA
Rfam family: Bacterial small subunit ribosomal RNA
Source: RNAcentral
UGUCGUCAGCUCGUGUUGUGAAAUGUUGGGUUAAGUCCCGCAACGAGCGCAACCCUUAUCCUUUGUUGCCAGCGAUUAGGUCGGGAACUCAAAGGAGACUGCCAGUGAUAAACUGGAGGAAGGUGGGGAUGACGUCAAGUCAUCAUGGCCCUUACGACCAGGGCUACACACGUGCUACAAUGGCGCAUACAAAGAGAAGCGACCUCGCGAGAGCAAGCGGACCUCAUAAAGUGCGUCGUAGUCCGGAUUGGAGUCUGCAACUCGACUCCAUGAAGUCGGAAUCGCUAGUAAUCGUGGAUCAGAAUGCCACGGUGAAUACGUUCCCGGGCCUUGUACACACCGCCCGUCACACCAUGGGAGUGGGUUGCAAAAGAAGUAGGUAGCUUAACCUUCGGGAGGGCGCUUACCACUUUGUGAUUCAUGACUGGGGUGAAGUCGUAACAAGGUAACCGUAGGGGAACCUGCGGUUGGA